Molecule: ribosomal RNA, 649 nt
Filed under: uncultured bacterium
Lineage: Bacteria
Description: bacterial SSU rRNA
Rfam family: Bacterial small subunit ribosomal RNA
Source: RNAcentral
AGAGUUUGAUCAUGGCUCAGAGCGAACGCUGGCGGCGUACUUAACACAUGCAAGUCGAACGGGGAGUCCGCGGGUAGCAAUACUCGCGGGCUUCUAGUGGCGCACGGGUGAGUAACACGUGAGUGACCUACCCUUGGGUCCGGGAUACCCCUUCGAAAGGAGGGCUAAUACCGGGUACGUUCUUCUGGCUGCGAGGCUGGGAGAGGACAGGCCGUGGCAACACGGUCGCCGAAGGAGGGGCUCGCGGCCUAUCAGCUAGUUGGCGGGGUAAUGGCCCACCAAGGCGAUGACGGGUAGCUGGUUUGAGAGGACGACCAGCCACACGGGGACUGAGACACGGCCCCGACUCCUACGGGAGGCAGCAGUGGGGAAUUUUCCGCAAUGGGCGCAAGCCUGACGGAGUGACGCCGCGUGGGGGACGAAGGCCUUCGGGUCGUAAACCCCUGUCAGAGGGAAAGAAGGGGCGGGGAGUGAACUCCUCGUUCUGACGGUACCCUCAGAGGAAGCCCCGGCCAACUCUGUGCCAGCAGCCGCGGUAAGACAGAGGGGGCAAGCGUUGCUCGGAAUCACUGGGCGUAAAGGGCGCGUAGGCGGGAGGUCAAGUCGGUCGUGAAAUCUCCGGGCUCAACCCGGAGGAGUCGGCCGAAAC